GAUCUGUGAGAAAUUCCAGGGGGGAGUCCAUUAUCUUGUCACAUGUCUGCAUGUAUCUGAUCCUGGGUUCUCUCUGACCUAACAUCCCGGCCUUUUGGUGAUAAGGGAUAAGGGACGGCGACUCUUUCUGACUGCUUCCGGCUGGCUAAGGGCGACGAGGGGGGGGGGGCGUUUAAAGGCCAGGGUUAGGCAGAGACAGAUUAGAGGGCAGCCGAGUGUAGGGAUGGAGCAGGAGCUGAUUCACAGUCACCUGUGACAUCUCCGUUAUCCAGGAGCAGAUGAACUUGAGGAGACGGGGCUAGGAGAAAAAAGACACAGAUGAGAAUCAGGGGCCCUAUCAUGGGUAGGACCCAGGUAGCUAAGGGGCUUUGGAACCAGCCGGAAGGAGCGUUGUCCUAGAAGUGUCUUGCAUGUAGUUCUUCACUCAGCUUAGUGAGGGUCUGCACGUUUUGCUCCACUACUCCGGACUUGUUGAUGUAGUAGCAGCAUUCUUCCUGAAGGAAUAUGCAGGUUACUCCUCUUUCUGCAGUCAGAAGGUCUGAGGCGCGCUGGUUCUGUAGGGCUACCUGGGCUACUGAUGUCACUUGCUGCUGUAGGGAGGCU
This is a long non-coding RNA of Myotis davidii, 603 nucleotides long. RefSeq lists it as uncharacterized. The transcript is spliced from 2 exons. The record is from RefSeq and is a predicted model, not a curated record. Lineage: Eukaryota; Metazoa; Chordata; Mammalia; Chiroptera; Vespertilionidae.